RNAcentral lists this ribosomal RNA (253 nucleotides) under uncultured bacterium. RNAcentral describes it as "partial 16S ribosomal RNA". It matches the Rfam family "Bacterial small subunit ribosomal RNA", at positions 524 to 776 of the family's 1533-position model. The record is from RNAcentral.
UACGUAGGGGGCAAGCGUUGUCCGGAAUCAUUGGGCGUAAAGAGCGUGUAGGCGGCCCGGUAAGUCCGUUGUGAAAGUCCAGGGCUCAACCCUGGAAAGCCGAUGGAUACUGCCGGGCUAGAGUUCGGAAGAGGCGAGUGGAAUUCCUGGUGUAGCGGUGGAAUGCGCAGAUAUCAGGAGGAACACCUAUAGCGAAGGCAGCUCGCUGGGACGACACUGACGCUGAGACGCGAAAGCGUGGGGAGCGAACAGG